This 904-nucleotide long non-coding RNA is filed under the name Polistes fuscatus (common paper wasp). RNAcentral describes it as "uncharacterized LOC122523164". The record is from RNAcentral. Lineage: Eukaryota; Metazoa; Arthropoda; Insecta; Hymenoptera; Vespidae.
UUAUACAGCUUUAUAUAAUAUGUUGAUACUACAUGUGUACGAUAUUUUACGAUCGAUGAACCUUGAUAUGGACGAUAAUGCUGUAAAAAUAAGAUUUUUUUCUUUUCUAUUAAAGAUUUCCAGGUAAUGCCGUGUGUCACUGAAUAAAAAAUAUUUUAUCUUAUUAUUAAAUUGUUUACAUGAACACACUUUCCUAUAAAUAUGCCAUUCUACCGCUAAAUGAAAUCAGAAAUCUUUUGACAUACUUCCAAGUAAAAUCUUAAAGAAAAUCGUCUAAAAAAUAAAAUGGCUAAGCUUUUAUUGUUUCUUGUCCUCACUCUUUUGGCGUUUACUUAUGUGAUGGCUUGUUCUCCACCAGGUAUGCCUUGUACCGAUAGUAGUCAAUGCUGUGCCCCAUACGUAUGCAACCCUUGGGCUAAUCGUUGCACAAAAGGUGGAAGCUGGCAACCACCAGGCGCUAGCACUGAUGGCAGCGAAUGAUUAAGAUGAGCUAUCUGACAUAUUUACAUUAUUUCGUAGGCCUACGAUCAAAUGUACACUUUUUCCUAAUUCAUCAUAUAUGAUGAUUUCUGUAACUUGACUUAUUGUUUGCUUCAAAAAUACAUAUGCAUCAUUAAAAUUAACUUUCUUUUGUUCUAUUCUUUUAAUCAACCUAUUCACAUCGUACACUUCGUCGAUAAUCCAACAUAAAAUAUUUAUUUCUUUAGAUAAAUCCGAGGUUUCCGAUUAACAUGUCCGAUAGAUUUUAAGAACAAGUAUUGUCUUUGCUUUAAAUACAAAUGUUAUUAUCAUCGUAUGAAUGUUUCUAUUUUUUUCAUUUUUCGUUUUACCGAUAACUAUGCUUAAUAGAAAUGUUAUUAAUAUGUAACAUAUAAAUGUUCUUCGUCUCACUCAAACAAAAUGA